This 432-nucleotide unclassified non-coding RNA is filed under the name Hevea brasiliensis (rubber tree). The record is from RNAcentral. Lineage: Eukaryota; Viridiplantae; Streptophyta; Magnoliopsida; Malpighiales; Euphorbiaceae.
GAAAUUAAAAAAAAAAAUCAAUUCAUAAAGCAAAUAAAAAAAAAAAGAAUUUUUGAACGAAGAUCAGAAAGUUCCAUCGCAUAAGCACUGAAUAUUUUCUUGAUAACCAUGCCAAGAUGAAAACAGAUCAAAAGCAGGUAAAGAGCACUAGUUAGUUUGCUUCCCAUCACUCUGGAUGUGGUAUUCAGAAACAUAAAAUUGGUUUGACAUUGCCAAAUGUAGAAAAUUUCAAACAUGGGAACAUUUAAGGCCAGGACAUAUUAUCUAAGUUUCAGAUUCAGAGCAAUAGCCUAUCUUUCUGUGCAACUAAUGUGGCAUGUUUACAAUGAAGUACCUUACAUUCUCACUUGUAUUAAUGUGCCCCUUAUAAAGCCUUGGGCACUUCUCUACCCCACCCCCCCCCUACCAAGCUAGCUUUUGGGGGUAAGUUAG